Molecule: ribosomal RNA, 654 nt
Filed under: Triticum aestivum (bread wheat)
Lineage: Eukaryota; Viridiplantae; Streptophyta; Magnoliopsida; Poales; Poaceae
Description: partial small subunit ribosomal RNA
Source: RNAcentral
AUGUCACCUCAGUCUUUCACCUUGGAGACCACCACCACCACUCCUGCUGCCAAGAGACCAAACCCUUCCUACUUCCAAUCCGCUCCAGCUUGCCAUGAGAUGAUCCAGCACAAGGAGCUUCUUCUCCACUUGUACGCCUACCAGAAUGUCCAGAAAACCCCAGAUGCUAACCAGGCAGUCAUAGUUGAGUCAAAGCGCCCCAAGUGUUUCGGAAUCCUCGCUGCUAAUGACUGGGCCGUGUACGAUGGUCCUGGCCAGAAUGCAAACCUUGUCGCGCAUGCUCAAGGUUUGCACCUCGGGGCUAGCAUGGCCAAAGAGUGCUGGUUCAUUUGCUUCAACAUGGUCUUCGUCGAUCAGAGGUUUACAGGUUCCAGUUUCAAGGUAAUGGGGGACUUUCAAGGCACUGCCCACAAUGGUGAAUGGGCAAUCGUUGGUGGGACUGGAGAGUUUGCAUAUGCACAGGGUGUCAUCGCCUUCAACAAGACCCAUCAAUCUGAGAGAAACGCCAGGAUGGAGCUUCAUGUUCGUGCUAUGUGUCUCUCCUUCUUAAGACCUCUGCUUUCUCUAGGUGACGGGAGCGCCGUCACCAAGAUCGGCCCUUGGGGUAAAAUAAGUGGGGAGUUACUCGACAUCCCCUCGACACCGCAGCGCUAG